This is a long non-coding RNA of Megalobrama amblycephala (Wuchang bream), 3351 nucleotides long. RefSeq lists it as uncharacterized. The record is from RefSeq and is a predicted model, not a curated record. NCBI's taxonomy places the organism in Eukaryota, Metazoa, Chordata, Actinopteri, Cypriniformes, Xenocyprididae. The transcript is spliced from 10 exons.
UUUAUGACAACAUUGUGAGGACGUCGUGGUAAUGUUCCAUUUUUUAGAAUCUUGGCUAACGUUCCAGAAACGUCGCGGGCACGUCCUCAAAAGACGUCGCUGGUUAAUACCACGGAGAACGUUGUAGCGACGUGGUCCAUAGAAUCUUGGCUAUGGUUCCAGAAACGUCGCAGGCACAUCCUCAAAAGACGUCGCUGGUUAAUCCCACGGAGAACGUUGUAGCGACGUGGUCCAUUGGUCUCCUGAUAACUUUCCAGAUAUGUAACUUUUUGUGUUAAAAAUUUACAAAAAUUAUACAAUGGGAAUGUACAACAUGAAUACAUUUUCCAAACCGUGUUUUUGUUGUACCCUGAAUCAUUAUGGUACACCCAGAGCCGUUGAAAAACAGAGUUCCGACCGGUUCCGACACUCCCAUAGACCUCCAUAGGAACUUUGGAAUGCGGAAGUAACGCGUGUCGUGGAGCGGCCGAUAGUUCCAAACACUGAUAGUUCCAAACACUGAUAGUUCCAGCGCUGAAACCCAUUCAUUUUCAGUGAUUCUGAAGAUCGCUCGCUGUUCUGUCCAGGAGCAGCAGGUUUGAUUCGACUCCAGACCCGUCUCCUCUGGGGCCUGACACAGGCCCUGUUUUCACCUGGAGUUAAGAUGUGUCAAUCGGAUCACAAGUGGACGAGGGAGACGCAUACACGUUUACACUUGGUGUUUUAAUCCAUCUCUUUUGUCCUCUUUCAACCACGAUUUCUUCAAGGGGGUGGGUAAAUGUAUGGGUUUUUAUAGAUCUUUCAAUCUAAUAGACAAAAUAAGCUUGAGCAGUUUACAUAUGAACACACCCAGAGAUGACAGGAAAACAUACAGAGAGCAUCAGUGUUUGUUUCUACUCUGACAGCCGCAAGACCAGCUGAACGCAGUGAGUGUGUGUUAGAAAUCAGGAAUGGUGAGAGAACAUUGUGCUUGGUACAUUUUUCAUCUUCAAACCAAACUUGGGUCUUUAGCCAACAAAGUUUAAAUCCAAUCUAGCUAGCGUGCUUCCCAUAAUGUUUACACAUUAGGUCAGUAGGCGGAGAGUAGACAGUCUUUAGUGGCGGUUCGAACACAUUCGACCACGUUUACACUAUGAAAGCAGUCCAGUCAAAUGCAUUUUCAAAUACCUCUGGAAGUGGUUGAAAGUGGACAAACUCAAACCGUUUUAGACUCCAUUUACACCUGUAUUUAGUGUCAUCCACUUCAGAUUAGCCAGAACACAUCUUAACACCAGGUGGAAACAGGCCCACAGUCUGCUUCUGGCAGUGGAAUGCUCUCACCCAAAAAGUCUCCAGAUCAUCAUACGGCUGCGCUGGAAGAAUGUAAUGGCUAUUGUGAAAACUUCUAUUCCUUUUCUGGCCUGCUUUCUGCCAUCUUUCUCUCCCUGUAGGAAGUCAAAUGAGUUUCUUUGAAGACAGAACAUUCAAGGAAAAGUUACCUACCCUCUCUCUGGAUAUAAUAUAUAAUUAAAUGUUUUGUUGAAUGCAAUUGGUUGCCUUGUAUAUUUUUCAAUGUUGACCAAACUUCUUUCUUGACUUAAACUGAGCAGCUUCAUUCAUUGAUAUUAACUUGUUGUGCAUGUUUAUGUAAAUGUGUCUUAACAUAACGCAACAUUAGGAUGUUAGUAAUAUUUAUGACCAUAGAAGCAUGAGAAAAAUAUAUACAGUACAUGCUGUAAAUGUAUACCUUAUGGGAGCAGCCCCUUUAAACGCUCACAAAAAAUUAAUUCAAUUCAAAAGGCUUUAUUUGCAUGAAAAUAAAUAAAUAAAUAAAUAAAUAUAUCAUAUAUAUCAAUUAAAAAUUAAUUCAAUUCAAAGGGGCUUUAUUUGCAUGGAUAUAUAUAUAUAAUAUAACAUACUACAUAUGUUUGUAUGUAUUUGUGUGUGUUCUGAUUAAUGGUUUAGCCUAUGUUUAGGGAAGGACAUGAUGAAGGGGUACAUUAGCCAUACUGAAAUGAAUCCAGUUAACAGAAAUGCUAACGUUAUGGAUCGUAUUUAGGAACAUUGUUAAUUCACUCCGUAACCAUCUCUCCAGUAGCCUACAUUUUAACAGACCACACUGUUAUAUAAUGCCGUCUCUCUUUCACUCUCCAGAUACAAUACACUACUGUAAGUGUAGUCAACGUAGUAAUCAGUUUUAUGCGUUAAUAUUUACCGAAAAAUUGCUGCAAAUACAGUAGUUGCUGUUUAUGUAUUUUACGUUAUGGGAGCAGCCCCUCUUCCCUCCAAAAUUAAACACAAAUACUGAUUAAUGCUGUUUCCGCCACUCCCGGAGAAAAAAAAAGAUAUCAUAUGUAUGUAAUGUAAGUGUCAGCGUAAUAAUCAAUGUAUAUUAUGCGUCCAUGUUUACGGAUAAUUGCUGCAAAUAUAGCUACAGCUGUCUGUCCCGCUUAAAACCAUUUAAACUGGUUGACGGCGCGCAUGUUUUUGGAACUAUUGAGAGCUACACGAACCGCGUGGCGGCGAGAUCAAAGAGUGUCGCAACUCUCAUAUUUAACGGCUCUGGGUACACCUAGAUAAGUGUUUAUAUUCGGACUAUUUUAGACCAGUCUGGUAGGAACCGCUGCGGAGUAGCACAAAUACCUGCGUGAUUCGUCAUAGACAUAAACAGAGAGAAGUAGCUCCGGCUACAAUGUUCUUCCGCAAGAUGCAUGCCGUUCUGUUUAACCGUUAGAGCGCCAAAAGUUAUGGACAUGUUUAUAUAUUAUAUGUUGUGUUUGUGAAUGAAGGAGAUUUAUUGGAUGGGGCACGCGCGAGACAAAUUCGAAAUUUUAAAUGAGCAAGUCUAACGGUCUUUCGGAGAAUCUUGAGUACUGCGCAUGCGCAUCAUUUUGUUCUGUAACGGUCGACUUCCAGCAGACGGACACGGAGUAAAAGCAGCUGGAGGAGAGACAGCCUGUGCAGCAACAACAAGACAACAAUGAUUAUAAGCAGGGAUAAUCUCCAGGUGGACUGAACGGGUCCAGGAUCAAGAGAUCAUUCAUCAUGCAGACCAUGUUCCAGGAGAAGCAGCGUAUACUGGGUCUGCUUGAUCAUUUCGUUGUCCUGGAUGUGAGAACAUGGUCAAAAGCUGCCAGAGGAGGAUGAUGAUGGCAGUGGUGACCGAGGUGACAGUGCAGCUCAGGAUGAAGAAGAGGAGGAACAUUUUGUAAAAAUCCAAAGUGAAUAUAUAGAGACCAUCCUCCUAUCCUUGCCUCAGAAGAACCUGAGAAAGACCCUCUUCCUCUUCUCUCACAGCUCUCCAUCAUCUACCUCUACAACACUGAUGGCAAGAGUGUUAUACACAGCUGAGGACACGAUCGGGAAGCUGUGGAGACGUUGCUGCCCGGCAUU